This is a non-coding RNA of Aspergillus nidulans FGSC A4, 88 nucleotides long. The record is from Rfam. Lineage: Eukaryota; Fungi; Ascomycota; Eurotiomycetes; Eurotiales; Aspergillaceae.
UCCUCGAUGGUCUAACGGUCAUGAUUUCCGCUUGUCACCUGAUCAGGAACAAGCGCGGGAGACCUGGGUUCGACUCCCAGUCGGGGAG